RNAcentral lists this ribosomal RNA (347 nucleotides) under uncultured bacterium. RNAcentral's name for it is "partial 16S ribosomal RNA". It matches the Rfam family "Bacterial small subunit ribosomal RNA", at positions 338 to 699 of the family's 1533-position model. The record is from RNAcentral.
CCUACGGGAGGCUGCAGUGGGGAAUAUUGGGCAAUGGAGGCAACUCUGACCCAGCAACGCCGCGUGAAUGAUGAAGGUCUUCGGAUUGGAAAGUUCUGUGAUGGGGGAUGUACACAAUGACGGUACCCCAAUAGCAAGCCACUGCUAACUACGUGCCAGCAGCCGCGGUAAUACGUAGGUGGCAAGCGUUAUCCGGAAUGACUGGGGGUAAAGGGUGCGUAGGUGGUUUAGUAAGUUGGAGGUGUAAUUCCGGGGCUCAACCUCGGCGCUACCGCCAAUACUAUUAGACUAGAGUGCAGGAGCGGUAAGUGGAAUGUAUAGUGUAGCGGUGGAAUGCGUAGAUAUUA